CCCUAGCCCCGAUAGGAACGGCAUCUUUUUUUUGCGGUUGGGGAAUUGGCGGCGGAAAAAAAAGAUACAGUGGAUAGCGGGAUUAAGC
Molecule: small RNA, 88 nt
Filed under: Chryseobacterium sp. FH1
Lineage: Bacteria; Pseudomonadati; Bacteroidota; Flavobacteriia; Flavobacteriales; Weeksellaceae
Description: Flavo-1 RNA
Rfam family: Flavo-1 RNA
Source: Rfam by way of RNAcentral